CUUUAACGGAAUUCUUCGGAAGGAAGAUAAAGUGACUGAGCGGCGGACGGGUGAGUAACGCGUGGGUAACCUGCCUCAUACAGGGGGAUAACAGUUAGAAAUGGCUGCUAAUACCGCAUAAGCGCACAGGACCGCAUGGUCUGGUGUGAAAAACUCCGGUGGUAUGGGAUGGACCCGCGUUGGAUUAGCUAGUUGGUGGGGUAACGGCCUACCAAGGCGACGAUCCAUAGCCGGCCUGAGAGGGUGAACGGCCACAUUGGGACUGAGACACGGCCCAGACUCCUACGGGAGGCAGCAGUAGGGAAUAUUGCACAAUGGGGGAAACCCUGAUGCAGCGACGCCGCGUGAAGGAAGAAGUAUCUCGGUAUGUAAACUUCUAUCAGCAGGGAAGACAAUGACGGUACCUGACUAAGAAGCCCCGGCUAACUACGUGCCAGCAGCCGCGGUAAUGCGUAGGGGGCAAGCGUUAUCCGGAUUUACUGGGUGUAAAGGGAGCGUAGACGGACGGGCAAGUCUGAAGUGAAAGGCAGGGGCUCAACCCCUGGACUGCUUUGGAAACUGUCCAUCUAGAGUGCCGGAGAGGUAAGCGGAAUUCCUAGUGUAGCGGUGAAAUGCGUAGAUAUUAGGAGGAACACCAGUGGCGAAGGCGGCUUACUGGACGGUAACUGACGU
Molecule: ribosomal RNA, 672 nt
Filed under: uncultured Lachnospiraceae bacterium
Lineage: Bacteria; Bacillati; Bacillota; Clostridia; Lachnospirales; Lachnospiraceae
Description: bacterial SSU rRNA
Rfam family: Bacterial small subunit ribosomal RNA
Source: RNAcentral